This 2639-nucleotide long non-coding RNA is filed under the name Marmota monax (woodchuck). Lineage: Eukaryota; Metazoa; Chordata; Mammalia; Rodentia; Sciuridae. The record is from RNAcentral.
CGGGAGGGCGGGACAGGAACCUGUCUGGACUGGACCGUGGGGAAGGCGUGGCGGGGCCAGGAGCCUGAGAGACGCCUGGGUAAGAGGAGGGCGUGAAUGAAAACGAUAGUGGGCGGGGCCAGACACAAGGGCGGUGGGCAGGGCCAGGAGCCGGAGGGCGGGGCCAGGGUCCGAGGAGGGCGUGGCUGGACUCCGGGCGCGAGUGGAAUCGGGGCGGGGCCGGGCAUCUCCGCGCGCCCUGGAUCGUGGCUCCGGGGCUCCGGCCCCAAUUUCUCGCAAGCUGAGCGCACCCCGGGAGAGGAGUCGCCUCGACCGGGCGCACCUCCUGUGGUCAGUCUCGGGCGCUGGUUCCCCACGCCGGCCCUGUCAGGGCGCAGUCGGUCAGCUUUUCAUUAGCAGAAAACCCCGGUCGGCACGCCGGCGCCGCGCAGACGUCUCGGUUCAGGGUGAGGCCGUCGCCAGCUCCGGGGCGUGGGCAAGACCGCUUGGGGGCAACAGGAGCCUGUUUCUUGUUGAAUGCCGCCGCAGCGUCAGGGAGCGCUGGAACACGUGGUAAGCCCCCCAUAAGGAAGGCGGCGUCCCCCUUGCUCUCUCGGACCGAGCCGCCAGCUCAGGCCAGGGCGUCCUCUUGCUGAGCGGGGUCUCCCUGGCUUCACGCGAAACCCCGUCACUUGUGCUGUUGCGGGAGCGCUGAGAUCCACUCUCUGCUAUCCUCUGGGUCGCCCGCACCCCCGCCACGGGUAGCUCCCAGUAUCAGCCUUUCUUGGGAUACUCAGGGAGCUUGAGGCACCGUCUGGCUGAACCUGCAUGCCUCCCCAUUCCAGGCAGUGGUGGACUCUGCUUGACCUUGGGCUGACUCCAGGCUCCCAUCAGUGAUUAGGGCACUCAAACUCGCCUCACACCGACCAGUGCCCGAUCCAAAUCCAGAUCCCUCUGGACUCAGCCCCCUGCAGGGAGUCCCAGUAAGAGAAUGUUCUAGUUCCUCUCCAAGCCCCAAGAAAGCAGUGUACUCCUGCCUUGAGCCUCCAGCAGCUCUCAUGCCAGACAAGGAAGCACUGCCCCAGUGCCCUGAUGCCUUCACAGAACCUUAGAUCCAACCAGGCACAUUGGCGUCUCUGGCCUACAUGACAGAGCAAGUUUCAUAAUUCAGGGUCCUGAACUGAUGGGGCUUGGCAACCCUGUACCCCAACCUGGCCUGCUCCUGUAAGCAGGGCACACCCAGGAUAACACAAGGAGUGCGAGGGGGAGCUGACACAUGGGUCUAUAGAGAGCCUGACUUAGGAUGUCCACAGGGUGGGCACCAGCCCAGUGUUCAGGUGAUAGGGCACUGAGGCCCUGAAGGUUCUAUUUGGAGGUGGGGAAGGGGGCUGCCUCUUACCUCUGUAUCCACUGCAGGACGCUCCAGGGCCUCCACACUGCUUUUUGCUGAGCCGUGGUUCUACUGAGCUAUCAGAGACCCUUGCAGGGUUACAUUGUUCUCUGGGCCAGCCCGGAUCACUUUCCCUUGGAUCCAUCUGGGCUUGGGGUUUUAGGGCCCCUGGUUCUCCCUGAGUUCUUUUUGUUUCCUGAGUGACACAGAGUGCCUUGACUUAGGAUUUGGCCAGCUGUUUUCCCUGUAGGUCUGAAUCCAAGUCGGGACCUUGGAUGUUCCUAGGCACCCAUAAAGCUGCUUAAGUUGUUCCUCAAAUAUACUGGGAGAUAACUCUGUUCCUAAACAGGUAGGAACUAGCCCCAGACUUGAACUAAAUCCCUGAAGCCCUCUUCUAAACUCCGUAGCCAGACCCCCCUCCUUGCAGACAAACUUUGGUAGAACCUAUCUGGUCUCUAGGAAGCUGGGCCCUGUAAGUUCCCCUAGUAAGUGCUGAAGAAUUAGUACUUCUUAACUUGAAAUCUCAACUUGGGAUGGUUUAGGGCACUCCCUUGUGGGAAUCCCCCUAUAUUGCCCUUGAGGUGUCUCCAGCCUUUGUUUCAGCAGGGUUCCAAGCUGUAAAUGUUUCCGGAAACAUCCCGACUAAAAAGCUAUUUUCAAAGAGAUGCUGUAUCUCCAGGAGCACAUUGGUAUCCUGACAGACAAGCCAGAGCUAUGCAACUUUAAACAGGCAAGGACAGAUGGGGCACUCUAACAAGGCUAGUACUCUCCUGGACACACUCAAGUCUCACAGUGAUUAAAAUGUACUAGGGCUUUUUUUAAAUCAGGUGUGAUAAGACACACACACAGAAAUGGAUGUAAUGAAAGAAUUUGGUUUAUGGACACAAGUCCCUAGAAACAAGAAGCAGGGCAUGCCACACAGGGCCAACUGGGAAGGAUCAGGAGUGGUCAGGGCAGAAAGGAGAUGGCAGAAUAUGGCCCAGGGCAGAAAUUUACCCCUGGUUUCUGGUUGAAGGACAGAUGGUACCCAGAUAUCUUGUUAGAAAAAACAUUUUCUAUGCACAGGCACCCAUAGAGUUCUGUCCAUGUGUUCUACCUUGCAUGGUGGGAGCAAAACCAUUGUAACAGACUCAACUGCUGAAAAUCCAGCAGCUCGGAGGCUGAAGCAGGUGGAUUGCAAGUUCAAACCAGCCUCAGCAAGAACAAGGCACUAAGCAACUCAGUGAAACCCUGUCUCUAAAUAAAAUACAAAAUAGGGCUGGGGAUGUGG